Molecule: unclassified non-coding RNA, 67 nt
Filed under: Flavobacterium degerlachei
Lineage: Bacteria; Pseudomonadati; Bacteroidota; Flavobacteriia; Flavobacteriales; Flavobacteriaceae
Description: Flavo-1 RNA
Rfam family: Flavo-1 RNA
Source: RNAcentral
UUUUAGCCCCGAUAGAGCCGAUAUCCCACGUUUUUUAACGUGGAUAAAGGUGAAAGCGGGAAAUAGC